GACAGAAAGGCCAGGGGCUCCGGCCUGAGCUGAGUGGGCGGGGCAAGAGGGCAGAGCUCAAACUGAUGGGGCAAGUGUUUCUGCAGGUCUCCACCUCCUCGUGGGUGUGUGAUGGGGAGCAAUCAACCAAGUCUUUUGUCCACAGAUGAUCCACAGUGGUUUGUCUGAUGUCUCACGGCCUUCUCUUGUUGGAAAGGAGAUGACUCCUUGUCAUGUUAUUGACUUGAACUGGGACUGUAUAGAACAUGGUUGCAACCAAGGUCCCUGAUGUGGUCGCACCAAAACUUGUGUAAAGGGGGUCAAAUGAGAUGUCUAAGAAAAGGUUGUGGUUGGCUGGUUAUGAUUAUGCUUUCUGUAUGUGUGUAUUAUUUUGGUAGUUGAAGUUAUGAAUAUUGGCUCUGUACUGUUUGUAUUUCAAACUUAUGCUCUCCUUCUGGGUGACAUCUCAAACAAGUUGGUGUCAGCUCGGCCUAGCCUGCUUGAUGGCCCAUUAAGGACCAUCAGAUAUACAACUGACUCAUUGUGAGAAGGCAGACAUGCCUUGUGACUCAGCAAGGUAUGCAUGGACCUGCCUAUGGACAGAACUCUGAGAUUUUUCCAUGCCAUGCGAUGGAAUACUUACCUUUGGAACAAAGAAAGAAAAACCACCUGGCAAGAGAAUAUAAAAAGUUGCUGCAGCUCCUCCAUCUGGUCUUCAAUCCUGCUCCAUACCUUUGGAUGGACUUUGCUACAAAUGGAAGCUCUACACAAAGGACUGAUGAUCCAUUCCAGCAGGGGAUGUACUCCAGAGACUUGAUUUGAACCUGCGGUUUAUUCUAUCACUGCUACAAGCCUGAACAAAGAACUUUGCCAUUACUGUUUGUAAUUGAUUCCAUUUAACCAAUUCUAGCUCUCAUCUAUAUUUUUUUCCUUUUAUGAAUAAACCUUUAGAUUUUAGAUUAUAAA
Long non-coding RNA from Gopherus flavomarginatus (Mexican gopher tortoise), 945 nucleotides. RefSeq lists it as uncharacterized. The transcript has 2 exons. The record is from RefSeq and is a predicted model, not a curated record. Lineage: Eukaryota; Metazoa; Chordata; Testudines; Testudinidae.